AGUGAACGCUGGCGGUAGGCCUAACACAUGCAAGUCGAACGGCAGCACAGUAAGAGCUUGCUCUUACGGGUGGCGAGUGGCGGACGGGUGAGGAAUACAUCGGAAUCUACUUUUUCGUGGGGGAUAACGUAGGGAAACUUACGCUAAUACCGCAUACGACCUACGGGUGAAAGCAGGGGAUCUUCGGACCUUGCGCGAAUGAAUGAGCCGAUGUCGGAUUAGCUAGUUGGCGGGGUAAAGGCCCACCAAGGCGACGAUCCGUAGCUGGUCUGAGAGGAUGAUCAGCCACACUGGAACUGAGACACGGUCCAGACUCCUACGGGAGGCAGCAGUGGGGAAAAUUGGACAAUGGGCGCAAGCCUGAUCCAGCCAUACCGCGUGGGUGAAGAAGGCCUUCGGGUUGUAAAGCCCUUUUGUUGGGAAAGAAAAGCAGCAGGUUAAUACCCCGCUGUUCUGACGGUACCCAAAGAAUAAGCACCGGCUAACUUCGUG
This 492-nucleotide ribosomal RNA is filed under the name uncultured bacterium. Its description in RNAcentral is "partial 16S ribosomal RNA". It matches the Rfam family "Bacterial small subunit ribosomal RNA", at positions 29 to 507 of the family's 1533-position model. The record is from RNAcentral.